This 217-nucleotide non-coding RNA is filed under the name Pseudobacillus badius. RNAcentral's name for it is "Bacillus badius T-box sequence". It matches the Rfam family "T-box leader". From Rfam's summary of the family: Uncharged tRNA acts as the effector for transcription antitermination of genes in the T-box leader family. The record is from RNAcentral. Lineage: Bacteria; Bacillati; Bacillota; Bacilli; Caryophanales; Bacillaceae.
AGAAUGUCAAUGAUGAAGAGAGUAAUCAUGAAGAGGGAAGAUAGAGAAUCGGGGAUGGUGGAAGCCUGGUCGAACUCAAAUGAUGAACCGCACUUCGGAGACGCCUGCCUGAAUGAUAGUGUAGGGCCGGCCGGGACUCGCCCGUUAACAGAACAAAGCUGGUUUCGUUACGGAACAAAAAGAGUGGCACCGCGAAGUAUCAACUCUCGUCUCUUAU